UUUGAAAACAAAAACAAGUAA
Molecule: small nuclear RNA, 21 nt
Filed under: Arabidopsis thaliana (thale cress)
Lineage: Eukaryota; Viridiplantae; Streptophyta; Magnoliopsida; Brassicales; Brassicaceae
Description: snRNA_01850
Source: RNAcentral